Molecule: RNA transcript, 2245 nt
Organism: Beta vulgaris subsp. vulgaris (sugar beet)
Lineage: Eukaryota; Viridiplantae; Streptophyta; Magnoliopsida; Caryophyllales; Amaranthaceae
Gene name: lariat debranching enzyme
Exons: 11
Source: RefSeq, a predicted model, not a curated record
UAACAUUGCAUACACGCAAGAGAACUUCUCUCUUCGAUCUACUCCAUUAACCACUGCGUAUUUAACUAUUUGUUCCUCACAUCUUCUUUUACCAUAAAUUAGCGAAAUUCGACCCCAAAAAAUUAGUAAUUACUUCUUCCUCUCUAUGUUGUCUAUUCUUACUUCUCUAGAAGAGGUAGUUAGGAACAUACUCUAGUCCAGGCGGAGACUGGCCUCACCUGCAACAUCUCAUUGGCACACCACAAGACUGAGGAACUUCCAAAGAUGAAGAUAGCUGUGGAAGGAUGCAUGCAUGGAGACCUCGACAAUGUCUACAAAACUAUCAUCGAAUUAGAGAGAGCAGAGAACACCAAAAUUGAUCUUCUCAUUUGCUGCGGCGAUUUUCAGGCUGUUAGAAACAAAAAGGAUCUUGAGAGUUUGAAUGUGAAGCCUAAAUAUAGGCAAAUGAACACUUUCUGGAAAUAUUACUCAGGACAAGUAGUAGCUCCUGUGCCAACUGUUUUCAUUGGAGGAAAUCAUGAAGCAUCAAAUUACCUCUGGGAACUGUACUACGGUGGAUGGGCCGCACCUAAUAUAUACUUCUUGGGUUUUGCGGGAGUGAUCAAAUUUGGCAGCAUACGAAUUGGUGGAUUGUCGGGGAUAUACAAUUUUCGUCAUUAUAAAUUAGGUCAUUUUGAGAGACCUCCAUACAACGAGAGUGAUAUUCGGUCCAUCUAUCAUGUUCGUGAGUAUGAUGCUCACAAGCUUAUGCAAGUUGAGGAGCCAAUAGAUAUAUUUCUUUCUCAUGAUUGGCCACUUGGUAUUACUGAUUGUGGAAAUUGGAGGGAACUUGUUCGGAAGAAGCCAUUUUUUGAAAAAGAGAUCCAGGAACGAACUCUUGGUAGUAAGCCUGCGGCGAAGCUGCUGGAGAACUUGAAACCUUCCUAUUGGUUUUCGGCUCACCUGCACUGUAAAUUUUCUUCCCUUGUCCAACAUGGCGAUGAUGGUCCUGUGACAAAGUUUCUUGCACUUGACAAGUGCUUACCUGGUCGCAAAUUCUUACAGGUUAUUGACAUUGAAUCAGGACCUGGACCAUUUGAAAUAUGUUAUGAUGAGGAAUGGCUUGCAAUAACUCGGAUAUUCAAUCCUGCCUUCCCCCUUACUAGAAAGCCUGCUGAUUUGCGGAGUGUGCAAGUCGACAAAGAAGGUUGUCGCCAGUGGGUCAGGAGUAAGCUAAAUAUAAGAGGGGCUAAACCCUUUGAAUUCUCACGAACAGCUCCAUGCUAUGAUCCCGUUCAAUCUGUUUCAAAUGGCCCCGGAGCAGAAGAUCAUCGGAAUCCUCAGACAGAGGCACUCCUGAAGUUUCUUGAGCUACCAUAUCUUCUUGAUAACUCCACUGCUUCUAGUGAGCUGAGUUCAGACUCACCUUCAGUAUCUAGAGGCUUCUAUUCCAAUAAUGAAGACAUUCCAAUUGAUGAUGUGGAUGAAUUAGAAGAACUGGCUGCUGAUGAUGACGACGACUAAGCAACUGAUGAGGCAUGAAUCAGAAGGCAGAUGCUAGAUUUCUUGCAUUGACUCCUUUAGCUGCCUCAUUGUGUUAAAGUGUGGUUUGUUUGGUGGAGACCCGGGAAUAUGCUAAGAGAAAUGUAUCGUCAGCUUUUAUUCAUGGUGCAUUUGUUGUGCUACAAAUACUCAGUUCAGACCAUGGUUGGGUCAUCAACAUUAUCAGCAGGAGGCUCUGACACACGCUCAAAAGGCCUUUAAAUUUGGUAUCUCAACCAUUUUUUUUGCUGGAAAUAGAACUUAACAUCUUGAUCUCUUCCAAAUGUCAGCACUGCACGUCGUGUAUAGAAGCAGGUAUCAACUAGUUGCAACUCCAGGAACAGGGCAAUUUGUGUUGCAUAGAAUAGAGUAAUAUCUUCCGAUUAAUGCCAUUGAGGAAAUGUACAGAAUUAGUAUUGAGGAUUAAACCUAGGUGGUUGUUUUUUUCAUUGGAAAAAUUUAAUAUUGGUAGCUGAUUGUUCAGCACAAGGAGACCAGAAAUCAAACCUAGCUGCUGCCAGUUUACUGCUCUCGCAUAUUCACAGGGAUGAAAAGCAGUUUCCUAGGAUAACUGGUAGUUUGCUCGAUUGUCACAAAAUGUGUAUUGAUCCCAAGAGAGUAUUAUUCUUUUAAACAAGCGAAUGUUGUCACGUGUCUUUACCUGAUUGAUUAGCUAUAGUUUUUAUAUAUAUUGCUGAAAGCACAAAGCAGUAUGUUCCAAUGA